Molecule: long non-coding RNA, 415 nt
Organism: Suricata suricatta (meerkat)
Lineage: Eukaryota; Metazoa; Chordata; Mammalia; Carnivora; Herpestidae
Exons: 3
Source: RefSeq, a predicted model, not a curated record
GGAAGACAAGAAAGCCAUCCGUUACUGCUCCUAUCAGCCUGCGGUGAAGCCUCCAGCGAGGGACACAACAAGUUCCCUCCUAAGUGCCAGCCAUGAUACUCAGCCUUGAGGAUACGGCAGUACCCAGGAAAACACUAUGGGUUUUGGCUCAGAUGGCGUGCCAUUCAACUGUCAACUUGCUAGCAGCGCUAAGAAAGGUGUUCCCUCCUGCCUGGCUUCUCUCUCUCCCUCCCUAUCCCAAAUCCAACUUGGUCCUUAAGCCAUAUUCCUUUACACCUGCUGUGUUGUCGAUCCAACUUCACAUGUCAUUUCUGAUUCCUGUUUUCUUUCCUACCAUCUUUUCAAGAACCUUUUGGAAAGGUCUUCUAUGGCAAAAUGGUAGAUUCCAAAUAAAGAUGACAUGGAGCUAAAGCUA